AAGUAUAAGCAAUUAUACCGUGAAACUGCGAAUGGCUCAUUAAAUCAGUUAUCGUUUAUUUGAUAGUACCUUACUACUUGGAUAACCGUGGUAAUUCUAGAGCUAAUACAUGCUAAAAACCCCGACUUCGGGAGGGGUGUAUUUAUUAGAUAAAAAACCAAUGCCCUUCGGGGCUCCUUGGUGAUUCAUAAUAACUUAACGAAUCGCAUGGCCUUGCGCCGGCGAUGGUUCAUUCAAAUUUCUGCCCUAUCAACUUUCGAUGGUAGGAUAGUGGCCUACCAUGGUUUCAACGGGUAACGGGGAAUUA
RNAcentral lists this ribosomal RNA (307 nucleotides) under uncultured Pleosporales. RNAcentral describes it as "SSU rRNA". It matches the Rfam family "Eukaryotic small subunit ribosomal RNA", at positions 61 to 372 of the family's 1831-position model. Lineage: Eukaryota; Fungi; Ascomycota; Dothideomycetes; Pleosporales. The record is from RNAcentral.